AGAGAUGUGUGAUGACGCAUAUCAAUAAGCGGAGGAAAAGAAACUAACAAGGAUUCCCUUAGUAACGGCGAGUGAAGCGGGAAGAGCUCAAAUUUGAAAUCUUCAAGGUUCUACCUUGACGAAUUGUAGUUUAUAGAAGUGUUUUCUGUUAGUAGAGUGGCAAAAGUUCUUUGGAAUAGGACAUCAUAGAGGGUGAGAAUCCCGUAUUUGGUCAUUCUUUCUAGCUUUGUGAUACACUUUCAACGAGUCGGAUUGUUUGGGAAUGCAGUCCAAAAUGGGUGGUAAAUUUCAUCUAAAGCUAAAUAUUGGCGAGAGACCGAUAGCGAACAAGUACCGUGAGGGAAAGAUGAAAAGAACUUUGAAAAGAGAGUUAAACAGUACGUGAAAUUGUCAAAAGGGAAGCGUUUGACACCAGUGUUGUUUUUCCGAAAAUCAAUUACGAAUGUUUUGUUUUUGAGAAGUUAUGACUUCAUCGGCUUGCUUCUCUCUUUACGAAACUUUCUUAAUGCACUUUUCGGUUAACAAGUCAACAUCAAUUUCUUUUGUUGUAAAAGGGUAUGAGGAAGGUGGCUUUCUUUUCGGAGAAAGUGUUUAUAGCCUUGUACCUCUGCAAUCGGAGAGAUUGAGGUCUGCAGCGUAGAUCCUUCGGGGUUAGAUACACUUGUGCUAAGUUAUAGCUUUUCAUAGACAACUUGUUGACUAUGUUUAGUCUUGUAGCUUACUCGCUUACGCUAUUUUACCUACGCUUAGGAUGUUGAUCUGUAGUGCGUGCGC
Molecule: ribosomal RNA, 774 nt
Filed under: uncultured Neocallimastigales
Lineage: Eukaryota; Fungi; Neocallimastigomycota; Neocallimastigomycetes; Neocallimastigales
Description: partial large subunit ribosomal RNA
Rfam family: Eukaryotic large subunit ribosomal RNA
Source: RNAcentral